Non-coding RNA from Podarcis lilfordi (Lilford's wall lizard), 74 nucleotides. NCBI's taxonomy places the organism in Eukaryota, Metazoa, Chordata, Lepidosauria, Squamata, Lacertidae. The record is from the annotation of a GenBank genome assembly.
GACCAGGAUUGCUCAGUCAGUAGAGCGUGAGAUUCUGAAUCUCAAGAUUGUGGGUUUGAGCCCCACGUUGGACA